Molecule: ribosomal RNA, 301 nt
Filed under: uncultured bacterium
Lineage: Bacteria
Description: partial 16S ribosomal RNA
Rfam family: Bacterial small subunit ribosomal RNA
Source: RNAcentral
CAGUCGCCGCGGUAAGACGGAGGGUGCUAGCGUUGUUCGGAAUCACUGGGCGUAAAGGGCGCGUAGGCGGCCUGUUAAGUCGGAUGUGAAAGCCCGGGGCUCAACCCCGGAACUGCAUCCGAGACUGGCAGGCUUGAGACCGGGAGAGGAGGGUGGAAUAUCCAGUGUAGAGGUGAAAUUCGUAGAUAUUGGAUGGAACACCGGUGGCGAAAGCGGCUCUCUGGCCCGGAUCUGACGCUGAGGCGCGAAAGCGUGGGGAGCAAACAGGAUUAGAGACCCCCGUAGUCCCUGUCCCUUAUAC